UACGGAAGGUGCGAGCGUUAAUCGGAAUUACUGGGCGUAAAGCGCACGUAGGUGGUUUUAUAAGUCGGAUGUGAAAGCCCCGGGCUUAACCUGGGAAUUGCAUCUGAUACUGUCUGACUAGAGUAUGCUAGAGGGAAGUGGAAUUCCAGGUGUAGCGGUGAAAUGCGUAGAGAUCUGGAGGAACACCGAUGGCGAAGGCAGCCUUCUGGGCCAACACUGACGCUCAUGCACGAAAGCGUGGGGAGCAAACAGG
RNAcentral lists this ribosomal RNA (253 nucleotides) under uncultured bacterium. RNAcentral describes it as "partial 16S ribosomal RNA". It matches the Rfam family "Bacterial small subunit ribosomal RNA", at positions 524 to 776 of the family's 1533-position model. The record is from RNAcentral.